CUGUUUUCCAUCUGUGUUUCACGUUAUUCUUUGGAGUCCUCGUUUUCUUUUGGGAGAAGGUACCAGUGUUGAAUCCGGAGCGUAUCCCGGUCUGGUAUGCAAUGCCAUUCCCAGACAGACAGCCCUAGGCCCUCGGUGGAGAUGACGCUAGUGCUUGAAGGUGAUGUUUUUUCCUUGGACUGCGUGGCUGGCGAGAUGGUAACGCUGAGGCGGGGAGCAGCUUCACAGCUCAUUGCCCUCAUCAGAGCAGCCGCCUGAGAAGCACCGUGCCAAAGCCAAGCGCUCGCCGGGUACCCGCUGCAUCGCUGCGAAGGGCGGGGAGCAGCGCGCCCGCUCGCCGGGGCUCCUCGGGGACCCGCUGCCUGCCAGCUUCCCUCUGCCGUCCUCUGAGGCGGCCUGUCCCCAGAUACACGUGUCUGGGAAAGUGCCAAGAUCACAGUCAAAAGGGAGUCACCAAUGAAGAUUUCUCUGUGCAGCUAAGCAAACAGCUCAUGAAGAAAACUCUAAAUGAAACAGGGAAUGAGCACCAUGUAACCAGACAUCUAUAAACCUUCAGAUGCAGACCACUGACAGGAAUCUGUAGACUGCCAGUUUGGGAAACCUCUGCUUUAAACCUCUAAAUGAUUCAACAUUUGUGUAAGUCAGAUGCAUUCUGGUGCUACCUAGCUAAAUAAUUUUAUAGACAUGUUCAUUGUAAUGCUAAGA
This 705-nucleotide long non-coding RNA is filed under the name Falco tinnunculus (common kestrel). RNAcentral's name for it is "lncRNA (ENSFTIG00000012681.1)". The record is from RNAcentral. Lineage: Eukaryota; Metazoa; Chordata; Aves; Falconiformes; Falconidae.